RNAcentral lists this unclassified non-coding RNA (797 nucleotides) under Hevea brasiliensis (rubber tree). The record is from RNAcentral. Lineage: Eukaryota; Viridiplantae; Streptophyta; Magnoliopsida; Malpighiales; Euphorbiaceae.
AGGGAUAGUUACCGCUGUGUGGAAACCUUUUGCUCAUCAAAUAUCUCAACGUCUCCUUAACAUCAUCAGCGUCCCCUUUUGAAAGGGGGAAAUGCAGAAGUACUUGCAAGAUACCAGCGAGGCCAUUGGCUGCACCAUAAUAUCUUGUCCCGUGCCAUCUGUACAUCAGAGGGCACUCUGGGUUGUCGGAUGCGCCUGUCCUGCCACCCGCUAAAACAGCAUCAACUACAGACAUGAGAAGAUCAUGGGGUAACCUCUGCUCUCCAAGAUGCUUAUUAAUGAAUAAGGCAGCCCACAAGAACCCAGCUCGCCCAUAAAGGAGAUCAUAUGACAUUCCAAAACCUCCUUCUUCAGGUCCAAUAGGGAGUGCUUUCUCUUGUGCCGCCUGGAGAAAGAGAUUGAAGAACAAGUCAAGCUUUUGAGGGUCCCCCAUGUAAUGAGAUACCACAGCGCCAAGAGCACAAACUCCUCCUCUACCACACAGAAACGUCAAGUUCCUGUGAGAGGCACGUGCUGCAACCGUACAAGUGUCGACGAUGUCAGAGCACAAUAGCAAGUCCUGGUGGUUCCCGGACAGGUCCAAUAGGGAGUGCUUUCUCUUGUGCCGCCUGGAGAAAGAGAUUGAAGAACAAGUCAAGCUUUUGAGGGUCCCCCAUGUAAUGAGAUACCACAGCGCCAAGAGCACAAACUCCUCCUCUACCACACAGAAACGUCAAGUUCCUGUGAGAGGCACGUGCUGCAACCGUACAAGUGUCGACGAUGUCAGAGCACAAUAGCAAGUCCUGGUGGUUCCCGGA